RNAcentral lists this long non-coding RNA (254 nucleotides) under Setaria viridis. RNAcentral's name for it is "long non-coding RNA (SVIR_LNC007492)". The record is from RNAcentral. Lineage: Eukaryota; Viridiplantae; Streptophyta; Magnoliopsida; Poales; Poaceae.
CCUAAUCGAGGAACAAGCAGACAUUGCCGACGCCGACGUGUCGGCUCUAUACCCACCUAGGAGGCGAGGAGGCCAAGGCCUCCCACCGUCGCCCACUUCCAGGCUUCCAGCACGUGGACGGACACCGAAGCCGCCACGGCGCGCGCCACCGCCCAAGUAGGCACUGCCGGCAAUAAUCUCAGCAACGAGAAAUUUGGAUUUUUGACACCCAUAGCUUCGCACAUUUGAUACUACAAAGAUGGACUUCGCAAAUU